This 387-nucleotide unclassified non-coding RNA is filed under the name uncultured fungus. RNAcentral's name for it is "sequence contains ITS1". The stretch from base 1 to 105 matches the Rfam family "5.8S ribosomal RNA", at positions 50 to 154 of the family's 154-position model. The record is from RNAcentral. Lineage: Eukaryota; Fungi.
GAAAUGCGAUACGUAGUGUGAAUUGCAGAAUUCCGUGAAUCAUCGAAUCUUUGAACGCAUAUUGCGCUCGAGACCUCGGUCAAGAGCAUGUCUGGCUCAGCGUCGGCUCACCCCCUCGCACCCCUUCCCGCCCUCUGUCCGCAGAGGCGUGGGUCUGGGGCGCGGACCUGGCCGUCUCUGUUCCCCUCGAGGGCGCAGGGUCGGCUGAAGAUCAGAGGCUUGAGCAUGGUCCCGCUGAAAGGGCGCCAGCUUGGUAGGGUAGCUAACGCUCCAUGCCGCUGUCGCCCCCAGGGUCCGUGCUGUAAAGUCGGCAGGAAUCGGUGGGGCUCGCCCCACCGUACUCUUACUUUCGACCUGAGCUCAGGCAAGACUACCCGCUGAACUUAA